GACGAACUUUGGCGGCGUGCUUAACACAUGCAAGUCGAACGGAAAGGCCCUGCUUUUGUGGGGUGCUCGAGUGGCGAACGGGUGAGUAACACGUGAGUAACCUGCCCUUGACUUUGGGAUAACUUCAGGAAACUGGGGCUAAUACCGGAUAGGAGCUCCUGCUGCAUGGUGGGGGUUGGAAAGUUUCGGCGGUUGGGGAUGGACUCGCGGCUUAUCAGCUUGUUGGUGGGGUAGUGGCUUACCAAGGCUUUGACGGGUAGCCGGCCUGAGAGGGUGACCGGCCACAUUGGGACUGAGAUACGGCCCAGACUCCUACGGGAGGCAGCAGUGGGGAAUAUUGCACGAUGGGCGGAAGCCUGAUGCAGCAACGCCGCGUGCGGGAUGACGGCCUUCGGGUUGUAAACCGCUUUCGCCUGUGACGAAGCGUGAGUGACGGUAAUGGGUAAAGAAGCACCGGCUAACUACGUGCCAGCAGCCGCGGUGAUACGUAGGGUGCGAGCGUUGUCCGGAUUUAUUGGGCGUAAAGGGCUCGUAGGUGGUUGAUCGCGUCGGAAGUGUAAUCUUGGGGCUUAACCCUGAGCGUGCUUUCGAUACGGGUUGACUUGAGGAAGGUAGGGGAGAAUGGAAUUCCUGGUGGAGCGGUGGAAUGCGCAGAUAUCAGGAGGAACACCAGUGGCGAAGGCGGUUCUCUGGGCCUUUCCUGACGCUGAGGAGCGAAAGCGUGGGGAGCGAACAGGCUUAGAUACCCUGGUAGUCCACGCUGUAAACGGUGGGUACUAGGUGUGGGGUCCAUUCCACGGGUUCCGUGCCGUAGCUAACGCUUUAAGUACCCCGCCUGGGGAGUACGGCCGCAAGGCUAAAACUCAAAGGAAUUGACGGGGCCCCGCACAAGCGGCGGAGCAUGCGGAUUAAUUCGAUGCAACGCGUAGAACCUUACCUGGGUUUGACAUGGAUCGGGAGUGCUCAGAGAUGGGUGUGCCUCUUUUGGGGUCGGUUCACAGGUGGUGCAUGCCUGUCGUCAGCUCGUGUCGUGAGAUGUUGGGUUAAGUCCCGCAACGAGCGCAACCCUUGUUCACUGUUGCCAGCACGUUAUGGUGGGGACUCAGUGGAGACCGCCGGGGUCAACUCGGAGGAAGGUGGGGAUGACGUCAAGUCCUCAUGCCCCUUAUGUCCAGGGCUUCACGCAUGCUACAAUGGCUGGUACAGAGAGUGGCGAGCCUGUGAGGGUGAGCGAAUCUCGGAAAGCCGGUCUCAGUUCGGAUUGGGGUCUGCAACUCGACCUCAUGAAGUCGGAGUCGCUAGUAAUCGCAAAUCAGCAACGCUGCGGUGAAUACGUUCCCGGGGCU
Molecule: ribosomal RNA, 1346 nt
Filed under: uncultured bacterium
Lineage: Bacteria
Description: bacterial SSU rRNA
Rfam family: Bacterial small subunit ribosomal RNA
Source: RNAcentral